GACGAACGCUGGCGGCGCGCCUAACACAUGCAAGUCGAACGGAGCUGAGAGAAGCUUGCUUUUCUUAGCUUAGUGGUGAACGGGUGAGUAACGCGUGAGUAACCUGCCCUGGAGUGGGGGACAACAGUUGGAAACGACUGCUAAUACCGCAUAAGCCCACGAUCCGGCAUCGGAUUGAGGGAAAAGGAUUUAUUCGCUUCAGGAUGGACUCGCGUCCAAUUAGCUAGUUGGUGAGGUAACGGCCCACCAAGGCGACGAUUGGUAGCCGGACUGAGAGGUUGAACGGCCACAUUGGGACUGAGACACGGCCCAGACUCCUACGGGAGGCAGCAGUGGGGGAUAUUGCACAAUGGGGGAAACCCUGAUGCAGCGACGCCGCGUGGAGGAGGAAGGUUUUCGGAUUGUAAACUCCUGUCGUGAGGGACGAUAAUGACGGUACCUAACAAGAAAGCACCGGCUAACUACGUG
RNAcentral lists this ribosomal RNA (468 nucleotides) under uncultured bacterium. RNAcentral describes it as "partial 16S ribosomal RNA". It matches the Rfam family "Bacterial small subunit ribosomal RNA", at positions 28 to 507 of the family's 1533-position model. The record is from RNAcentral.